RNAcentral lists this small nuclear RNA (21 nucleotides) under Arabidopsis thaliana (thale cress). Its description in RNAcentral is "snRNA_15910". Lineage: Eukaryota; Viridiplantae; Streptophyta; Magnoliopsida; Brassicales; Brassicaceae. The record is from RNAcentral.
UGGACCAGUCCACUUUGUCUA